GAUGAACGCUGGCGGCGUGCCUAAUACAUGCAAGUCGAGCGAACGGACGAGAAGCUUGCUUCUCUGAUGUUAGCGGCGGACGGGUGAGUAACACGUGGAUAACCUACCUAUAAGACUGGGAUAACUUCGGGAAACCGGAGCUAAUACCGGAUAAUAUUUUGAACCGCAUGGUUCAAAAGUGGAAGACGGUCUUGCUGUCACUUAUAGAUGGAUCCGCGCUGCAUUAGCUAGUUGGUAAGGUAACGGCUUACCAAGGCAACGAUGCAUAGCCGACCUGAGAGGGUGAUCGGCGACACUGGAAGUGGGACACGGUCCAGACUCCUACGGGAGGCAGCAGUAGGGAAUCUUCCGCAGUGGGCGAAAGCCUGACGGAGCAACGCCGCGUGAGCGAUGAAGGUCUUCGGAUCGUAAAACUCUGUUAUUAGGGAAGAACAUAUGUGUAAGUAACUGUGCACAUCUUGACGGUACCUAAUCAGAAAGCCACGGCUAACUACGUG
RNAcentral lists this ribosomal RNA (497 nucleotides) under uncultured bacterium. RNAcentral describes it as "partial 16S ribosomal RNA". It matches the Rfam family "Bacterial small subunit ribosomal RNA", at positions 28 to 507 of the family's 1533-position model. The record is from RNAcentral.